Molecule: ribosomal RNA, 497 nt
Filed under: uncultured bacterium
Lineage: Bacteria
Description: partial 16S ribosomal RNA
Rfam family: Bacterial small subunit ribosomal RNA
Source: RNAcentral
GAUGAACGCUGGCGGCGUGCCUAAUACAUGCAAGUCGAGCGAACGGACGAGAAGCUUGCUUCUCUGAUGUUAGCGGCGGACGGGUGAGUAACACGUGGAUAACCUACCUAUAAGACUGGGAUAACUUCGGGAAACCGUAGCUAAUACCGGAUAAUAUUUUGAACCGCAUGGUUCAAAAGUGAAAGACGGUCUUGCUGUCACUUAUAGAUGGAUCCGCGCUGCAUUAGCUAGUUGGUAAGGUAACGGCUUACCAAGGCAACGAUGCAUAGCCGACCUGAGAGGGUGAUCGGCCACACUGGAGCUGGAACACGGUCCAGACUCCUACGGGAGGCAGCAGUAGGGAAUCUUCCGCAAUGGGCGAAAGCCUGACGGAGCAACGCCGCGUGAGUGAUGAAGGUCUUCGGAUCGUAAAACUCUGUUAUUAGGGAAGAACAUAUGUGUAAGUAACUGUGCACAUCUUGACGGUACCUAAUCAGAAAGCCACGGCUAACUACGUG